AUGUCUUCCUCCGGCGCCUCCUCACCAAACCUCAAUAAUCAGGUCACAGAGAAGAUGUCACACACGAACUACGUGCUAUGGCGCACGCAGAUCACACCUCAGAUGCGCGGUGCCAGCGUCUUCGGCUACGUCGACGGCACCAACCCGGAGCCGGCCAAGCUCCUCGUCACCGUCAAGGAGGGCAAGGAGACUUCAUCGCCCAACUCUCUCCAUCCUAUAUGGGUACGGGAGGACCAGCGGGUCCUUGGCUACCUGCUGAAUAACCUCACAAAAGAGGUGCUGGUCACGGUGACCACGGUCACCACGGCGGGCGCGCUCAGGACGACGCUCGCGGCCAUGUUCUCGUCACAAUCGGCAAGUCGCAUCAACAACAUACGCACCUCCCUCAUCAACGCGCAGAAGGGUAACCUCUCGGUUGCCUCCUACUUCGCCGCCAUGCGUGGCUAUGCCGAUGAGCUGGCCGCGGCGGGUAAGCCCAUCUAG
RNAcentral lists this ribosomal RNA (483 nucleotides) under Triticum aestivum (bread wheat). RNAcentral's name for it is "partial small subunit ribosomal RNA". Lineage: Eukaryota; Viridiplantae; Streptophyta; Magnoliopsida; Poales; Poaceae. The record is from RNAcentral.